UUUUUGUAAUACACCUACAGGGACUCGAAUCCCUUCCCUCACAAAUAUGAGGGAGUGGUUCUAACCAUUGUUUGACAGAUUCUAAUUUAAAGAAUUUUGCGGUGUGGCCGUGGCGGUCAUUUUGAUCGUGCGAAACAUGUCGUUUUCAAAUUUUCACUUUGGCAAAUCCGACGAUUAUCACUAUGUUUAAUUGGACGGCUGUGAUUUGUUUGUCUUCAACAACUUUACAGGCACUUAUUUGUUCUUUGAGUAGAUUCUUUUACACCACUCAAAAUUCCACGUAAAACUUAUCUUUGGUGGAAAUUAUCUAAAUAAUUAAAGAUA
RNAcentral lists this long non-coding RNA (324 nucleotides) under Citrus x clementina. Its description in RNAcentral is "Citrus clementina (C. clementina) long non-coding RNA (CCLE_LNC002032)". The record is from RNAcentral. Lineage: Eukaryota; Viridiplantae; Streptophyta; Magnoliopsida; Sapindales; Rutaceae.